Molecule: ribosomal RNA, 253 nt
Filed under: uncultured bacterium
Lineage: Bacteria
Description: partial 16S ribosomal RNA
Rfam family: Bacterial small subunit ribosomal RNA
Source: RNAcentral
UACGGGGGGGGCAAGCGUUGUUCGGAAUUACUGGGCGUAAAGCGUGCGUAGACGGUUAUUUAAGUCGGAUGUGAAAGCCCCGGGCUCAACCUGGGAAUUGCAUUCGAGACUGAAUAGCUAGGGUGCGGUAGAGGGAAGCGGAAUUUCCGGUGUAGCGGUGAAAUGCGUAGAUAUCGGAAGGAACAUCAGUGGCGAAAGCGGCUUCCUGGACCAGCACCGACGUUCAGGCACGAAAGCGUGGGGAGCAAACAGG